GACGAACGCUGGCGGCGUGCUUAACACAUGCCAGUCGAACGGAAAGGCCCUGCUUUUGUGGGGUUCUCGAGUGGCGAGCGGGUGAGAAACACGUGAGUAACCUGCCCUGGGCUGUGGGAUGACUUCAGGCAACUGGGGCUAAUGCCGGCGAGGAGCGCCUGCUGCAGGGGGGGGGUUGGAAAGUUUCGGCUGUGGGGGAUGGACGCGCGGCUUACCAGCUUGUUGGGUGGGGAGUUGCUUAGCCAGGCUUUGGCGGGUAGUCUGCCUGGGAGGUUGGACGCCCACAUUGGUCCUGCGGUACGGCCCAGUCUCCUACGGGGGGCAGCAGUGGGGAAUAUUGCACAACGGGCGCAAGUCUGUUGAAGCAACGCUGCGAGCGGGAUGACGGCCUUCGGGUUGUAAACCGCUUUCGCCUGUGACCAAGCGUGAGUGACGUUAAUGGGUAAAGAAGCACCGGCUAACUACGUG
This 468-nucleotide ribosomal RNA is filed under the name uncultured bacterium. Its description in RNAcentral is "partial 16S ribosomal RNA". It matches the Rfam family "Bacterial small subunit ribosomal RNA", at positions 28 to 507 of the family's 1533-position model. The record is from RNAcentral.